RNAcentral lists this ribosomal RNA (536 nucleotides) under uncultured bacterium. RNAcentral's name for it is "bacterial SSU rRNA". It matches the Rfam family "Bacterial small subunit ribosomal RNA", at positions 784 to 1320 of the family's 1533-position model. The record is from RNAcentral.
ACCCUGGUAGUCCACGCCCUAAACGAUGCGAACUGGAUGUUGGGUACAUUACGGUACUCAGUGUCGAAGCUAACGCGUUAAGUUCGCCGCCUGGGGAGUACGGUCGCAAGACUGAAACUCAAAGGAAUUGACGGGGGCCCGCACAAGCGGUGGAGUAUGUGGUUUAAUUCGAUGCAACGCGAAGAACCUUACCUGGCCUUGACAUCUGUCGAAUCCUGCAGAGAUGCGGGAGUGCCGCAAGGAACGACAAGACAGGUGCUGCAUGGCUGUCGUCAGCUCGUGUCGUGAGAUGUUGGGUUAAGUCCCGCAACGAGCGCAACCCUUGUCCCUAGUUGCCAGCACGUAAUGGUGGGAACUCUAGGGAGACUGCCGGUGACAAACCGGAGGAAGUGGGGAUGACGUCAAGUCCUCAUGGCCCUUACGGCCAGGGCUACACACGUACUACAAUGGUCGGUACAGAGGGUUGCGAAGCCGCGAGUGGAGCCAAUCCCAGAAAACCGAUCCCAGUCCGGAUCGGAGUCUGCAACUCGACUCCG